ACGAGAGAGAGGGAGCUUGCUUCCUUGAUCGAGUGGCGAACGGGUGAGUAACGCGUGAGGAACCUGCCUCAAAGAGGGGGACAACAGUUGGAAACGACUGCUAAUACCGCAUAAGCCCACGGCUCGGCAUCGAGCAGAGGGAAAAGGAGCAAUCCGCUUUGAGAUGGCCUCGCGUCCGAUUAGCUAGUUGGUGAGGUAACGGCCCACCAAGGCGACGAUCGGUAGCCGGACUGAGAGGUUGAACGGCCACAUUGGGACUGAGACACGGCCCAGACUCCUACGGGAGGCAGCAGUGGGGAAUAUUGCACAAUGGGGGAAACCCUGAUGCAGCGACGCCGCGUGGAGGAAGAAGGUCUUCGGAUUGUAAACUCCUGUUGUUGAGGAAGAUAAUGACGGUACUCAACAAGGAAGUGACGGCUAACUACGUGCCAGCAGCCGCGGUAAAACGUAGGUCACAAGCGUUGUCCGGAAUUACUGGGUGUAAAGGGAGCGCAGGCGGGCGAUCAAGUUGGAAGUGAAAUCCAUGGGCUCAACCCAUGGACUGCUUUCAAAACUGAUUGUCUUGAGUAGUGCAGAGGUAGGCGGAAUUCCCGGUGUAGCGGUGGAAUGCGUAGAUAUCGGGAGGAACACCAGUGGCGAAGGCGGCCUACUGGGCACCAACUGACGCUGA
Molecule: ribosomal RNA, 670 nt
Filed under: uncultured bacterium
Lineage: Bacteria
Description: bacterial SSU rRNA
Rfam family: Bacterial small subunit ribosomal RNA
Source: RNAcentral